UGGGGAAUAUUGGACAAUGGAGGGAACUCUGAUCCAGCAAUUCUGUGUGUGUGAAGAAGGUUUUAGGACUGUAAAACACUUUUAGUAGGGAAGAAAAAAAUGACGGUACCUACAGAAGAAGCAACGGCUCAAUACGUGCCAGCAGCCGCGGUAAUACGUAUGUUGCGAGCGUUAUCCGGAAUUAUUGGGCUUAAAGGGCAUCUAGGCGGUAAGACAAGUUGAAGGUGAAAACCUGUGGCUCAACCAUAGGCUUGCCUACAAAACUGUUGAACUAGAGUACUGGAAAGGUGGGUGGAACUACACGAGUAGAGGUGAAAUUCGUAGAUAUGUGUAGGAAUGCCGAUGAUGAAGAUAACUCACUGGACAGAAACUGACGCUGAAGUGCGAAAGCUAGGGGAGCAAACAGG
This 407-nucleotide ribosomal RNA is filed under the name Verrucomicrobiota bacterium. RNAcentral describes it as "Verrucomicrobia bacterium partial 16S ribosomal RNA". It matches the Rfam family "Bacterial small subunit ribosomal RNA", at positions 355 to 776 of the family's 1533-position model. The record is from RNAcentral. Lineage: Bacteria; Pseudomonadati; Verrucomicrobiota.